This 1852-nucleotide long non-coding RNA is filed under the name Homo sapiens (human). RNAcentral describes it as "HSALNT0298698". Lineage: Eukaryota; Metazoa; Chordata; Mammalia; Primates; Hominidae. The record is from RNAcentral.
AUCUCCUGACCUCGUGAUCCUCCUGCCUCGGCCUCCCAAAGUGCUGGGAUUACAGGAGUGAGCCACCGCAACUGGCCUGGCAGUUCCUUAUUUAUAUACUUUGAUCUAUGCCCCGGAAACAUGCCCCUGUCCUCUACCAAGUACCUUCCUCUACGUACCCCAAUUUGUAACAGCAUUUGUUGCCCUCUAGUACUAGUAUCGAUUUCUCUGGUUUUUCCCAUUUGACUGUAAGAUCCUUUCAAGUUAUCUUAUUCCUACUACCACUUAAAAAUGACAGUGUAUGAAUCACUCAUUGACACUUAACUUGUGAAGAGGAAAAAGGGGCGUUUCCACUUAGAAUUAACUCAUAACUCAAAUUCUUAGUAUACUUAUAGCUGUCUGAAAAGCUGAAGAAUCUUUUAGUCUAAGCCAAAACAUCUGCUUACUCUUUUUGUUUUUGUUUUUUGAGGUUUGAGUCUUGCUCUGUAGCCCUGGCUGGAGUGCAGUGUGUGACUCGUCUCAAAAAAAAAAAAAAAAGGUACUUUCACAUUUCUAGCUUCAUCCUUUUUAGCCCUAUCACUACUCUUCUACAAGUUUCCUUCAUUCAAAUUGAACUAUUUUCACGUGUGUUUCUCCAGCAUUUGUUAUUAACAACUAAGUCUUACUUAUCUACCCUUUAAGGCCCAGCUCAAGACUAUUCCAUGAAGGAGAAAAUCGCAUACUUGUCUCUUGCUCCUGUUGCCAGUGCAGGCAACCCUGAACUCCUAGUUCCUUGGCACUCACAAUGACCUUGCAUUAUCAGCCAUUUUUUGGUGCCCUUAAGUUACUUGAUAACAGAAAUCUCAUUUAAUACUCCAAAUGCCUUGUCCUCAAGUAGAUUUUCAAUAUUUGCUAGUUUUAAAAAAUGUUUCUAUUCUAUGCAAGUAGUCCCUCGCAUCUUACCUAUUCCACAGGUAUUAAAAGCAAAAGUCCUUAAUAUUCCGAGAUUCGUUCUUAAGAUAUUCUAGAAGUGGGUAGAAAUCCUGGAAAAAAUGGCAUAUUGUAGCCUCCUUAGGGGCUCACAACGCAUAUCAGCUAUUAUAUCAGGAAAGAAAACAGUUUAAUUUUGCUUAACCUGGCACCUCGGGAUUACAGAAAGCUAGAAUGCUUUUGUAAAAUGUGGUACAAGCUACUAUGCAAGCAAACCAUCAGGCACCAUGGUUCUGGUGGCCUUUCAGAGUGGUAUCACUUAGAACCACUCAGAUGUGGCAUGUGGUAGCUGGGGCUCUCACUGCUGUCUUAGAACCUGGCUACUAGUUUAUAAGGAUUGUGUCUGGUCAGCUCUGAGAGGAGACUGAACUCCUACGAGAGGAUCUGACCAUGACCCAUACAUUUCCAAUUUUAUUACAAGUAACCCAAAGUCCCUUAAAACAUUAAGGCUGUAAUGGGAAUUAAAGACUGCCACACUAAUUUAUGACCUAAUGAAUUAAUUUUGAUUUAAUGGCAAAGAAAAAAAAGAACUACAAGAAAGUAUUAGUUUAGGACAUUUUGAGUAUAUUCAACGUCUGCCUCUUUACCAUUUCAAAGCAACACUGUCCACUUAACACAAGAAUAUUUGAGUUCAAGUUCUCAGACAUUAAAAGCAAAGACUAUAUUUUAAGUAAGUCAAUUAUUGAUUAUCUAUGGCAAACUGAGACUAAUUUCUCCUCUACCAUUCUCACUGGACUGCCUGCUAUCCUUUAGUUGUAAAGUGUGUAAUUCUAAGGCCAAAAACAAAGGACCUUUGGAUUUCUACUUCAAUUGCGAUCUUCUAUUAUCCUAUUCCAUUAACAAAUUCUCCCUCUGUUAUCUUUUUUUUUUUUUUGAGACAAGAGUUUUGCUCUUGUUGCCCAGG